CCUCUCUGGGCAACCUGCCCCAAUGCUUUAUUAUUCUCAGAAGGUUGGGUUUUUUUCUCCUCUCUUCACAUAUUGAGUCAGAACCUCCUCUGGUUCAAUUUAUGACCACUGUCUCUUGUUUUCCUUCUGUGCACCUCCAUAAAAAGCCUGGCCAUCUGUCCAUGUUGCAGACAAGAAUCUAGUUCAAGCUGGAUCUUUGCUGAAGACUCUACAGUCCAAAUUAAUGUAAGAAGGUUGGGAUAACUUUUGGUUUCAGAAGGGCCGGGCAGUGAAUUAAACUUAUAUUUUUAAAAACAGGUAACUGAACCAUGAUUAAUGUAAACACAAACCCUCCUGCACCUGGCUGGCAACCACAAAAUACAGCGCAGCACUUCCCCUAACCACAGUCUCCUAGCAGUGUUGACUUAGUAAGUUCCUGUGACCUGCUGAACUUCUGCAGCUGAUAUGAGGUAUUGCAACAUGCUGUGUCACGUGUCAACCACGUUUCUGAGCUCCAGGAAAGACUCAAGAGCAGUGAUGUGAACUGUCACCCAAAUAUUCUGGAGGAAAAUAAGAAAAAAAAUAUUUGCCAGAGAUAAACAUUUUAUUUCUAUGUUGUGCUAAGACAACCUGUUCUGCCACAGAGGCUAUGAAUAGAUGUGAUUUAAACAUCAGAGCACAAUGUUUAGCUCCUCCCCAAGGAUUUUACAGCCUAUAUAUAUGGUGGGAAGCAAGAGAUGGGCCCAGGCAGACAGGCAGUGUGAGUAAAGAUAGUAUUGAAUGAGCUGGGGUCUCUGUAUCUCUGUGGCAUAACUCUUCCCAAGUUUGUAGGUACACGUGAAAAAAAGAAAACUUUCUCGAGUACAGAUCUGAAGGAAGACAACUAAGUGGCUUUGGAGAAUGUCUUAUAGCAAGGGGAUGGCCUGGGGAAAGGCAGGAGGCACUUGCUUGAGGAUGCAGCAAGGGGAUGAUGAAGGCUGUCACUGUGUGCUGACCAGAGGUAACAGCACCAACCUUCAGCUGUGUCUGCACAUUCUGGAUGCUACAUUGACAUUGACCUACUUUAUUCUCAGUAAAAAAAUAUUUAGCAAGACGAAGAGGAAGAAAAAAAACUGUUAUCAAGACAUUUUGGCUUAUGGUGAACAUGGCAGUUGAGGAAACGCUGGUGCAGAAAUGAUGGAGCAGGACUGGGUCUGUCAGGGCCAGAGAAAGCCAGAUGCAUGAUGAGGAGUUCCUGAAGAAGGCUCAGCUGUGCAGUUUCAUGUGAAAGGCCAUACCUGAGAGAUGUGAGAGCCUGGGGUCUGGAA
Molecule: long non-coding RNA, 1286 nt
Filed under: Athene cunicularia (burrowing owl)
Lineage: Eukaryota; Metazoa; Chordata; Aves; Strigiformes; Strigidae
Description: lncRNA (ENSACUG00000013453.1)
Source: RNAcentral